GGCAUGGUGUAGUGGUUUGAGUGUUGGACUACAACUCUGGAGACCAGGGUUCAAUUCCCAGUUUGGCCA
RNAcentral lists this transfer RNA (69 nucleotides) under Phrynosoma platyrhinos (Desert horned lizard). Its description in RNAcentral is "tRNA-OTHER". The record is from RNAcentral. Lineage: Eukaryota; Metazoa; Chordata; Lepidosauria; Squamata; Phrynosomatidae.